This 502-nucleotide ribosomal RNA is filed under the name uncultured bacterium. RNAcentral's name for it is "partial 16S ribosomal RNA". It matches the Rfam family "Bacterial small subunit ribosomal RNA", at positions 28 to 507 of the family's 1533-position model. The record is from RNAcentral.
GACGAACGCUGGCGGCGUGCCUAAUACAUGCAAGUCGAACGAACCGCGACUAAGUGCUUGCACUAAGUCAAGGUGAGUGGCGAACGGGUGAGUAACACGUGGGUAACCUACCUCAUAGUGGGGGAUAACAGUCGGAAACGACUGCUAAUACCGCAUAGGACAUAGGAUCACAUGAUCCAGUGAGGAAAGGUGGCGCAAGCUAUCGCUAAGAGAUGGACCCGCGGUGCAUUAGCUAGUUGGUAGGGUAAAGGCCUACCAAGGCGAUGAUGCAUAGCCGACCUGAGAGGGUGAUCGGCCACAUUGGGACUGAGACACGGCCCAAACUCCUACGGGAGGCAGCAGUAGGGAAUCUUCCGCAAUGGACGCAAGUCUGACGGAGCAACGCCGCGUGAGUGAAGAAGGUCUUCGGAUCGUAAAGCUCUGUUGUUAGAGAAGAACAGCGCAUAGAGUAACUGCUAUGCGUGUGACGGUAUCUAGCCAGAAAGCCACAGCUAACUACGUG